CCUACGGGUGGCAGCAGUGAGGAAUAUUGGUCAAUGGACGAGAGUCUGAACCAGCCAAGUAGCGUGAAGGAUGACUGCCCUAUGGGUUGUAAACUUCUUUUAUAUGGGAAUAAAACGUUCCACGUGUGGGAUUUUGUAUGUACCAUAUGAAUAAGGAUCGGCUAACUCCGUGCCAGCAGCCGGGGUAAUACGGAGGAUCCGAGCGUUAUCCGGAUUUAUUGGGUUUAAAGGGAGCGUAGGUGGAUUGUUAAGUCAGUUGUGAAAGUUUGCGGCUCAACCGUAAAAUUGCAGUUGAAACUGGCAGUCUUGAGUACAGUAGAGGUGGGCGGAAUUCGUGGUGUAGCGGUGAAAUGCUUAGAUAUCACGAAGAACUCCGAUUGCGAAGGCAGUUCACUGGACUGCAACUGACACUGAGGCUCGAAAGUGUGGGUAUCAAACAGGAUUAGAUACCCCAGUAGUC
Molecule: ribosomal RNA, 460 nt
Filed under: uncultured bacterium
Lineage: Bacteria
Description: partial 16S ribosomal RNA
Rfam family: Bacterial small subunit ribosomal RNA
Source: RNAcentral